UACCAGCUCCCGAGUGGUAGGGAUGAUUAUUGGGCUUAAAGCGUCCGUAGCCGGCUUAGCAAGUCUCCUGUUAAAUUCAGCGACCUAAUCGUUGAGCCGCGGGAGACACUACUAGGCUAGGAGGCGGGAGAGGCCGACGGUAUUCUCGGGGUAGGGUGAAAUCCUAUAAUCCCGGGAGGACCACCAGUGGCGAAGGCUGUCGGCUAGAACGCGCUCGACGGUGAGGGACGAAAGCUGGGGGAGCGAACCGGAUUAGAUACCCGGGUAGUCCCCAGGCUGUAAACGAUGCGGGCUAGGUGUUGGGGUGGCUACGAGCCACUUCAAGUGCCGCAGGGAAGCCAUUAAGCCCGCGCCUGGGGAGUACGGCCGCAAGGCUGAACUUAAGGAAUUGGCGGGGAGCACCACAAGGCGUGAAGCUUGCGGUUC
RNAcentral lists this ribosomal RNA (426 nucleotides) under uncultured archaeon. RNAcentral's name for it is "bacterial SSU rRNA". It matches the Rfam family "Archaeal small subunit ribosomal RNA", at positions 474 to 903 of the family's 1478-position model. The record is from RNAcentral.